Molecule: ribosomal RNA, 305 nt
Filed under: uncultured bacterium
Lineage: Bacteria
Description: bacterial SSU rRNA
Rfam family: Bacterial small subunit ribosomal RNA
Source: RNAcentral
UCUCCUACGGGACGCAGCAGUGGGGGAUAUUGCACAAUGGGGGGAACCCUGAUGCAGCGACGCCGCGUGGGUGAAGGAGUAUUUCGGUAUGUAAAGCCCUAUCGGCAGGGAAGAAGCAAGACGGUACCUGACUAAGAAGCCCCGGCUAACUACGUGCCAGCAGCCGCGGUAAUACGUAGGGGGCAAGCGUUAUCCGGAUUUACUGGGGGUAAAGGGAGCGUAGACGGUCCUGCAAGCCAGAUGUGAAAGCCCGGGGCUCAACCCCGGGACUGCAUUUGGAACUGGAAGGCUAGAGUGUCGGAGAG